AGAGAGAGACAUGCGCGCAUAUCAAUAAGCGGAGGAAAAGAAACUAACAAGGAUUCCCCUAGUAACGGCGAGUGAAGCGGGAAGAGCUCAAAUUUGAAAUCUUAAAGGGUUUCCCUUUACGAAUUGUAGUUUAAAGAAGUGUUUUCUGUUGAGGUUUUGGUAAAAGUUCUUUGGAAUAGGACAUCAUAGAGGGUGAGAAUCCCAUAUUUGACCUUUACUUUCAACUUUGUGAUACACUUUCAAAGAGUCGGAUUGUUUGGGAAUGCAGUCCAAAAUGGGUGGUAAAUUUCAUCUAAAGCUAAAUAUUGGCGAGAGACCGAUAGCGAACAAGUACCGUGAGGGAAAGAUGAAAAGAACUUUGAAAAGAGAGUUAAACAGUACGUGAAAUUGUCAAAAGGGAAGCGUUUGACACCAGUGUUGUUUUUCUGAAAUCAAUUAAAGAACUGUUUAUGCUAAGUUGUUUAGACUUUAUCAGCUAACUGUUUAGUUUUGAGCUUUUCUUUAGUGCACUUUUCAGUUAACAAGUCAACAUCAAUUUCUUUUGCUGUAAAAAAGCUUGAGGAAGGUGGCUUGAGAUUCGUCUUAAGUGUUUAUAGCCUCUUGCCUAUGCAGUCGGAGAGAUUGAGGUCUGCAGCGUAGAUCCUUCGGGGCUAAAUGCAUUUGUGCUAAGUUAUAGCAUUUUAUAGACAACUUGUUGACUAUGAUUUGUCUUGUAGCUUACUCGCUUAUGUUAUUCUACCUACGCUUAGGAUGUUGAGCGCAUGUCUCUCUCU
RNAcentral lists this ribosomal RNA (773 nucleotides) under uncultured Neocallimastigales. RNAcentral's name for it is "partial large subunit ribosomal RNA". It matches the Rfam family "Eukaryotic large subunit ribosomal RNA", at positions 23 to 616 of the family's 3401-position model. Lineage: Eukaryota; Fungi; Neocallimastigomycota; Neocallimastigomycetes; Neocallimastigales. The record is from RNAcentral.